GACUCGGUGUGAGCAAUAAAGACAGAUUGAAAUCAAGAGCAGCUAGCCGUGCUCCAUGAUGUGAGAUCCGUCGUUUUUUUGGACAGUUUUCCCUUUUUCCCCUCUCUUUUGUGCGGCUGCUACUUUGGGGAGAGAGGAGGGGAAAAAAUUUGCCUGUGCUGAGUUCUGGGUUUCUUUUGGGAAAGAGAAGACUGGAGGGGAGGGGAAUGGCGUCCAAAAGAGAGGAAGUUGGGUUUUUUUUUUUUUUUGUUGUUUUUUGUUUUUUUGUUUUUUUGCUAUGGGGGAAUCUGUUGCAAACAGCUAAGGGGGCAUUACAGCGUUUUGGCCACAGAGGGAAGUUUUUGGGGGCGGAAGUCGGGCGGAUACCGGACGGGUGUGAAUAACCUUCAGCAGGCUGAUGCAGAGGUUGGUAGGUGUGCAUGAGACCGGGAGGGAGAGAGAGAAAGACAGCAGGGGUGGUAUCUGGCACAAAAACAUCAAAAAGAUCCUCCUCAUGCAGGCUUAAAUUAACACUAGCUGUUCAGAGCAGGGCUGUUUAUUACUGUAGGCUAUAACAGUGCUACUGAAAGGACAAGAAAGGGUGGGAGACAGAAUAGGCUGGACACUGAGGGGGAGGCGGAGGGGGAAGGAGGGUGCAGGACACGAGCAGAGUCAUCAGCAGAGUCCAUUUUAUCGUUCGGUUACUGCCCGACAUUUCUCCUCUCCUUAUUCGCACGCAGGACCGCUGCUGCAGUUCGCAGCGAGGCAAGGGUGGCCUAGUAAUGGCACAUAGCGGGCGCACUGCGGUAAAUAUUACAGGAUUUCACAGCACGGUUCGCUGUUGCAAUCAUGGCAGGGCAGUCGCACCCAGGUGCUUAUCUAGCUUUGAUAGCGUGCCAAAACAGUCGGCGUAGCUUUUUCAACUCAUUAACGUCUCUGUGGUCAUGAGAACGAAGCAGUAAUCAAGGCCGUAUUCAUCAGCGACCACGCCAGACUCCGGUUUUCGGGCCUUUAUUAGGUGCCUGCUGUUGGUCCCAUCCACACUCUGGAAGUUUUGUGAUAAAGGACAUGUAGGUCAAAGACGAACGUCUCUGAAAUAAAGAGAUGAAUAGUUAAUCGUUCACAUGACACUCAAAGUUAGGUGUUAAAAGUUGUCCCACAAUCCUUUAAUCAUUUCUGAGUGUAUGUGUGUGUGUGUGUGUUUGCUGUGACUCUCCUCCUCAGGAGAAGUGCACUGUGCCCCCCCCCCCCCACCCCACCUACACACACACACACACACACACACACACCCCUCCAGCUCCCUCCCGCCUUGUGCACACGCACGUCGCACAGGGUCGGUGAUGAAAACGCGUAGUGCGCACGCACUCCCACACGUCCCUGUUUCAUCAUCAGCUGAGCCCUUUCUCCUCCACUCACAGCGCUUCUUCCCUCCCUCUCUCGCCCCCUCCCCUCUCUGCUCUUGCUUCUUUUUCUAUCCAUCGCUCUCCUCCUCCUCUCUCCCUGGGUCCCGGCCACAUGCGAGAGGGUAGACUAGGACGCUGCAGCUCUGAAAAAAAAAAAAAAAAAAAAAAAGAGGGGAAAAACGCUCUGCUGCUAUUUCUACAGGCGGGCCCUCCCCUUUAGCUAGUCUGUGCCAAAAGAGGGAGGGAUUUUUUACUACUCCCAGUCCCAGGAUUUUAACCCUCUGCCUGCUCUCGCUUCUCUCUGCAAGAUCUGCUCCUCAAUAUCAUGCAACAAGUGGCUUUGCUUUACUCCUGCUUCGACACCGCUGCGCCAUUUGCGAAGACGUUUUUCAGGACCCCGGUUUUCUUCACUUGGCGGGCAUCGAUCACCUGCACUUGAGAGGAUAUGUGGACAUACUGUGUGCAGCUACGGCGAAGGAUCCAGCACAAUGAGCGGCGGGGAUUUCGGCGCUUUGCCCCGGAUAGCUGAUGGCUGUGGUGUGUGUGCCAGCUGCCUCAAAGACUCAGUGGGCUCAUUAAUCGGGAAUGACUUUAUUUUUCCUGCUCAGACCUCAGCAUCAAGGACGAGGAAACGCGAGAGGAGGCGAGCCGACAGCCCUGAAGCCGCAGCUGCACGGAGGAGGUGACCCGUCAAACACAAGUGACAUACAGGAAGUAUUUUGACAGCACGCAACAAUUAAAGCGUGAAAAAAAAAAAAAAAACCCACACAAUCUCAAUUUACUCAGUUAGAUGCAAAGUUCCCUCUGCUCUACUCUCACAUCCACUCUCACAUUUCCUGUUCAUAUAGAAAGUAGAAGAAGAUAAAAACAGAACAGAGCAGCGUAUUGAGUUUAGGUUAGGUUGUUUAGAAAAUGAUUUAUAUUUUUAAUUGAUUAAAUUGAAGUUUACAUUAAAUGUACUGUAGCAGUUUAAUUCAGCUGUAUCUCCUGACAAAAAUAAAGUGUGUAGUUAUGGCCACAGUCUUUAGCUAAUACAGAGAAUUAGGUGGUUGUGAUUUAAAUACUGUAAAAUACUCUUAAAUAGCGUGGAGGUUCAGGCUGUGUGUGUAAAACAUCAUUCAACAUCAAUUCAAAAGUCCAUUUACUUUUUCAGACUUUUUAACUGCACCUCGUGGCCUUGACCAGCAGGUAUAUAUUUAACUUUUCAAGCUUCUGAAAACAGCAGGUGUUAGUGUUUUUUUUCUCCCAUUACACAGAGUUAGAAUUUUUACACACAUCAAACACAAUAAUCCACUUACAGACACACAUUCAUGUGUCAUUUAGUUUCCUGUGUCUCCUCCUGGCUUCCUGAAGGCCGUUUGUCGCGUUGAGUUUCUGUUCCCCACAGGCCGAGCUGCCGAGCGUGCGACAGGAGAGACCUCUGCGGGAGAUGAACUGUCCUUUGGGGUGAGGUAGUAGGUUGUAUAGUUUUAGGGUCAUUCCCAAGCUGUCAGAUGACUAUACAACUUACUGUCUUUCCUGAAGCGACUGUGCUGGCAUCACGACCGUCACGACCGCACUGCAAACGUUUGUUUCUCCACUUCAAAUCUGGACAAACAACACACUAUAUUUAGAACAUAAAGGGCACUGCUCCUUGUUGAUUUCCUUUGAUAAAAUUGUGCAGAAAAUAAAGAAGAAGCAAGUAAAAUUAUCUUCACAUUUUCAGGCAACUCAGAUGUUGAUUUUAAAAAUAAAUGCAAGAUCUGGGAAAGAUUUCAUCCAUUUUAAUGAUGUUCAUUAGUGCAUGAUUCUGAAAUAUUUUUGGAAUUUUAAUCAGAACUAAAAUGUUAAUUUAUGAGUCUUUUACUUCUGUGCUUAUUAUAAUUUCAAAUCCUUUAACAUGAGUCCAUUAGCUAAUAUUUGAAUGCUGAUUUUGUACAGAAACUGUGAUAACCACACAGCAGCUCUGUCUUCAUUUACACAGCGAUCAUGUGACCUCUAACCCCCACCCCCCACCCCACCGCCCACCCGGGUGACUUAUGGUGUUCGUACAGGGUGAGGUAGUAGGUUGUGUGGUUUCAGGGUUGUGAUUUUACCCCAUCAGGAGCUAACUAUACAACCUACUGCCUUCCCUGGAGGGCAGCAAUACAUCACAGGAGCACACACACACACACACACACACACACACUACUGACUUGAACUGAGAGGUUUCAUUGAAUCGGUGAGUGAUGCUGAAUCACAAUUUGACUGCAACAUUAAUAAACAGAUUUGUAACUGCUUCAUUCAUGUUUUAACUUUGUACUUUUCCCUCAAUAAAGACUGAAAACAAAUACUACACAGCAA
This is a long non-coding RNA of Lates calcarifer (barramundi perch), 3704 nucleotides long. RefSeq lists it as uncharacterized. Lineage: Eukaryota; Metazoa; Chordata; Actinopteri; Centropomidae. The transcript is spliced from 4 exons. The record is from RefSeq and is a predicted model, not a curated record.